Long non-coding RNA from Erpetoichthys calabaricus (reedfish), 431 nucleotides. RefSeq lists it as uncharacterized. The transcript has 4 exons. The record is from RefSeq and is a predicted model, not a curated record. Lineage: Eukaryota; Metazoa; Chordata; Cladistia; Polypteriformes; Polypteridae.
CUCACGGUAACAGAAAGUGGCGGCUGGUGGACGGCGAAGAGCCACAGCCAAUCCAAACAACAAAGGACAUGAAGCCGGUACUGACACUGGGUGUGAUGUCAGUCCAUCAUAGGAUGCAUUCUUGAUUACAUCGGAACAAUAUAUUCGUAGGUAGCAGUGCCAAGAAAACCCCCAGUGAGGGCAACUGAGCCAUGCCCAUGACCCUCUCCGAAACCCUGCCUCUUCUCAUUAAGAACUAUAACUACCAAUGUCCUCAGGAGGAAUGACGUCAGAUGUGAAACAGACCUUCUGCAUGUUGGACAUACCUGAUCUUGACCAGCUCAAUAGAGCCUUUAAACCAGACAAGCCAAACAGACGAGAUGAUUGACAACCUCACCACCUCUGACAUCACUUCCGGUGUGUGUCCACCUGGAGCCAUCUCUUCCUGCCUG